This 354-nucleotide ribosomal RNA is filed under the name Triticum aestivum (bread wheat). RNAcentral's name for it is "partial small subunit ribosomal RNA". Lineage: Eukaryota; Viridiplantae; Streptophyta; Magnoliopsida; Poales; Poaceae. The record is from RNAcentral.
AUGAGUAACGGAGGCAGGCAGCAAAGAGCGAUGCAUGUGCGUGUGCAUGAGCCGAGGCGACGGCAGCGCCUCAAGCCUGGCGUCCUGCCCGGCGGUGAACAGCUCGUCCAUGAAGGGAACACACUCGUGCGGAUUCAUGCGGAGAAGCGGGUGCUGCGCGCCGGCGGGCGGGUGCGCGCCCCGCGCCAUGGUGGCGAACGCCAGCGCCUUGAGCCAGGUGGUGCCGCACUUGGCCGGGCUCGCGAGGAGCACGUCGCCGGGGCGCGGCGUGAAGCGACGCUGGAGAGAGAUGAACCCCGUGACUCUUUCUUGGAUCACCCAGGAGCCACGGUACUGGCGCAGGACCAUGCCUAG